CAAUGUCCCAGGAUUCUGAUA
RNAcentral lists this unclassified non-coding RNA (21 nucleotides) under Mus musculus (house mouse). Its description in RNAcentral is "oocyte_clustered_small_RNA8262". The record is from RNAcentral. Lineage: Eukaryota; Metazoa; Chordata; Mammalia; Rodentia; Muridae.